GACAAAACCUGUUGUCAUUAAGGCUAUUGUUGAGAGUGUUACAGAGAACAAAUUCUCCUUUGAGAUUGGAAAAUUAUGACUUUAAAGAAAGAAAGAAGGUUUGCAUUUUCCAAAUAUAAUGGCAUCAGUUACACUACACUCCUUACUAUAUUAUGGCUCUGGCUGGUGCUUAGUGUAUACAAAACAAAAGCGACAGAGAACACAACUGCACCUACACUGACUACAACUCUAACAAGUACAAUUCAGGAACCAACAACUGCAGAGAAAAUGACCACAAUGACAACUGGACCAUCAACUGCAACCACAUCAAUAAGCUUGACAACUACCACUGAAUACACAACAACCACAGCACCAACACCAGCAGAAACAACUGCACCCACAACUCUAACAAGUACAAUUCAGGAACCAACAACU
Long non-coding RNA from Pangasianodon hypophthalmus (striped catfish), 414 nucleotides. RefSeq lists it as uncharacterized. The record is from RefSeq and is a predicted model, not a curated record. Lineage: Eukaryota; Metazoa; Chordata; Actinopteri; Siluriformes; Pangasiidae. The transcript is spliced from 3 exons.